AUACCUAGAAGCAUUUUUAAUAGCAGAGGGAUCCAGCAGCAAUCACUGAAAGCACUACUUUUACAUCUGUUCCAGCUGUGAAGCUGUUAGUUUAUUUAAGUUGGAGUGGUUUUCCUAAGAAGAAAGGUUUGUAGUUCCUCUGCACGUGCAAGUGCCUCUGCUCCCACACAGUUCUGCAACUCCUGGCUAACCUACAACAGAAGCUGAACAGGAUGAGAUCCUUUCCUCUUCUUAUCUGGAAGUUACUAAUUUGGAUAUGGCUGGGAUUUCUAAAUGUAUCCUGCUGCUAAUGGCAACUGAGGAACAGGGAGCAUGUUUUACCCCAGCCUUUUCUAGCCCUAAGAGAACAGUUCUCAUUAGUGCCCAUUUGGAACAGGAAAGCUUUUAACAACUGAGGCAACAACCCUGGAAUUGGUGACUGCAGCAGAGAUGGCCUCAGGAUGACUGGGAAACACUUCUUUCAGCAUUGACACCACUUCGCUUCACAGAGCUGACCCAAAAAGCAAGCUUACAACUGCAGUUUGUGCUUAUUAAUAGCAAACACUUGUCACUCCAGGGUAGAGGAAGCAGCUGGACCACAGCAUGUUGCACAUUACAGACUCAGCUGAGGAAGACAAAGCACAAAGCAUGACUCUCAUGUGCUCUUUAUUAUUUCUGCAAUUGGAUCAAGUAUCUCAUCCUAAACCCAAUCAAGGCAGCAAGAACUUUAGCUAUUUAACAGAGUAAAGGUUGCUCAAGUCUACAAGUAAUUAACAGAUAAGAACAGUGUAGCAAGCAACCCUAUGCUCCCAAUACUCCACUUUGUUAGCUGCAAAAGCUCUCCUAACCAUGCAGCAGGCACAUGCCAUGUUUGCUACUCAGGCUGCUCAAACAGAUAGGGAAGGGGGUGCAUUGAUGAUAUUCUGAGAAGUGCAUCACUAAAAUGAUACUUUAGGAAGUAUGAAAUCAAAACCUCGUCAGCAGUUGAUUACUACAGAGCACAAAAGUUGCACAGCCAUAGUAAGAGGACCAUACUUUAAGAAGAAAUGGUGCAUCUGCCCUAUUCAGUAACUAGCACAGAACUGCUAUUAAAGUCGCUGUUGCUAGCUGCUGAACUACACACUCUAGGGAGUUGCCUAGUUGUUGCCCGGGUGCCCUAACAACAAAAGGCUCUUAGGUACAUCUAAGAUACUACCGCAGCAAGCAAAAACCAGAACAAUCCCAAAGUCCCU
Strigops habroptila (Kakapo) is the source of this 1211-nucleotide long non-coding RNA. RefSeq lists it as uncharacterized. The record is from RefSeq and is a predicted model, not a curated record. Lineage: Eukaryota; Metazoa; Chordata; Aves; Psittaciformes; Psittacidae. The transcript has 2 exons.